CCAGACUCCUACGGGAGGCAGCAGUGGGGAAUCUUCCGCAAUGGACGAAAGUCUGACGGAGCAACGCCGCGUGAGUGAUGACGGCCUUCGGGUUGUAAAGCUCUGUUAAUCGGGACGAAAGGCCUUCUUGCGAAUAGUGAGAAGGAUUGACGGUACCGGAAUAGAAAGCCACGGCUAACUACGUGCCAGCAGCCGCGGUAAUACGUAGGUGGCAAGCGUUGUCCGGAAUUAUUGGGCGUAAAGCGCGCGUAGGCGGAUAGGUCAGUCUGUCUUAAAAGUUCGGGGCUUAACCCCGUGAUGGGAUGGAAACUGCCAAUCUAGAGUAUCGGAGAGGAAAGUGGAAUUCCUAGUGUAGCGGUGAAAUGCGUAGAUAUUAGGAAGAACACCAGUGGCGAAGGCGACUUUCUGGACGAAAACUGACGCUGAGGCGCGAAAGCCAGGGGAGCGAACGGGAUUAGAUACCCCGGUAGUCCUGGCCGUAAACGAUGGGUACUAGGUGUAGGAGGUAUCGACCCCUUCUGUGCCGGAGUUAACGCAAUAAGUACCCCGCCUGGGGAGUACGACCGCAAGGUUGAAACUCAAAGGAAUUGACGGGGGCCCGCACAAG
Molecule: ribosomal RNA, 607 nt
Filed under: uncultured bacterium
Lineage: Bacteria
Description: bacterial SSU rRNA
Rfam family: Bacterial small subunit ribosomal RNA
Source: RNAcentral